AUUCCAGCUCCAGUAGCGUAUAUUGAUGUUGUUGCAGUUAAAAAGCUCGUAGUUGGAUUUCUGACUUGACGCGCCUGGCCCGCCUUGCAUUUCGCGGGUGAGUGCCGGAGCGCGUCGGUCAUCCUUCUAGAGAACGGCGCUACCCUUCACUGGGUCGGCGUCGCAAUCUAGAUCUUUUACUUUGAAAAAAUUAGAGUGUUCAAGGCAGGCUCGCGCUGUGAAUACAUUAGCAUGGAAUAAUAAUCUAGGACUUUGUUCCUAUUUUGUUGGUUUCUAGGAAUUAAGUAAUGAUUGAUAGGGAUAGUUGGGGGUGCUAGUAUUCAGCGGCCAGAGGUGAAAUUCUUGGAUUCGCUGAAGACUAACUUAUGCGAAAGCAUUCACCAAGGAUGUCUUCAUCG
RNAcentral lists this ribosomal RNA (398 nucleotides) under Imbricatea sp. RNAcentral describes it as "partial small subunit ribosomal RNA". It matches the Rfam family "Eukaryotic small subunit ribosomal RNA", at positions 582 to 975 of the family's 1831-position model. The record is from RNAcentral. Lineage: Eukaryota; Cercozoa; Imbricatea.